RNAcentral lists this ribosomal RNA (672 nucleotides) under Triticum aestivum (bread wheat). Its description in RNAcentral is "partial small subunit ribosomal RNA". Lineage: Eukaryota; Viridiplantae; Streptophyta; Magnoliopsida; Poales; Poaceae. The record is from RNAcentral.
AUGGGAGGAGGCCUAGUGCCAACUGAUUGUCAAACUGGCGCCAGCCGCAGAAAGAGGAUCUUUCGCUGCCAUUGCUGUGGCCAGUGUCUUGCUCGGCAUGGGACUGACCACCAACCAAACCAAACUGAACGCACUCACGCCUCACCGAGGCAGCCGACCACGCAGUUAGUUGCCGAGCGUCACGAACCAUCGCCGAGUAACCGAGAGAUCCUCCUCCAUAUCUCUGUCCCACACAAGACCGUGGCUGUGGUGUGCGGCCACCGUCGAUCCGCGCCCCACCUACAGACUAUACUAAGCACGCCGUUAAUUGCCCAAGGCAACACCCGGCUAGGGGCAGAGAGAUCUGGAGAGUUAAAAAUAAAGGAACCUCCAAGAUCAUGGUGUAUCGGCCCCGAUUCGCGUCGCCAUCGCUGGGUGCGAAUGGCCACGUCGGAGUUUCAAAUACCUGCACCGCUUUCCGCAACCGUGCCCCGCCUUUGCCCCACAGUGACACGACGGACAUCCGAAUCGGCCCCGCGCACUGGAGCGAGCUCGCGAGCUCGCUCGCCUGGGUGCACCGCUAAGGCACGCACGCACGCUCCGUCCCGCCCACGCCUGAAACCUAUAAAACCCAGCCAACUGCGCCAUCAUUUCUCACCAGCUCCAUCGCAAGGGACAAUACUACCACUCUAG